GGCAGCUCUUAGGAGAACACUUCAGGAUAAUCUCCCUCGACCAAGACCCAAAAUGAAGGGCAUGGAGAGCUGUGGAUAUUUCCUGUGCAAGGAUGGAGUUACUGUCCUGUCCUCAGAACCUCUGGUGGCCCUUCCUCUUUUUGACAUGGCUGCAGCCACUCUGCUGUGCCAGCACACAGAGAAGGGAUGUGACACCCUUUUUCCAGAGUGAUAACUGUGGUUUAAAAGAAGCCAGCGCUGCGAGGAGAGCGGAGGGCGGAUCCGAGAUAAGGACCCGUGGGCAGUGAAGCUGCUGAAAUGAUGGUUCAGGCUGGUGCCAGACGUGACAGAGAGCAGGGUCUGAAGCUCAUCUCCACUUGUUCUGAGUGAAACCCUUCAGCCAGAGUGCCAGAGUGAGUUCUCACCUCCGGGGACAGCUGAGUGUGGUCCCCAAAGCUGUCAUCAGGUGUGGCCAGCAGGCCAGGAGAAGGUUUUCAAGGCAUUGCUGGAGGUGCUGGCUCUAAGCACAGGGUAGCACAAGAUGUUUGCUCUGUGCUGCUGCUGCAAGUUAUGUUUAGCCUCUUGGAAAUAUUCCCAGCCCACCAGGAGUCAUUUCUGACUAACAGGCACCCCUUAAUCUGUCUCUAAUCCCCCCCUAUAAUUUUACACCUCUUUAGCCUCAUCCAAAUAAAAAC
RNAcentral lists this long non-coding RNA (674 nucleotides) under Parus major (Great Tit). Its description in RNAcentral is "lncRNA (ENSPMJG00000006498.1)". Lineage: Eukaryota; Metazoa; Chordata; Aves; Passeriformes; Paridae. The record is from RNAcentral.